This 478-nucleotide ribosomal RNA is filed under the name uncultured bacterium. RNAcentral's name for it is "partial 16S ribosomal RNA". It matches the Rfam family "Bacterial small subunit ribosomal RNA", at positions 28 to 507 of the family's 1533-position model. The record is from RNAcentral.
GAUGAACGCUGGCGGCGUGCUUAACACAUGCAAGUCGAACGGGAAACCUUUUAUUGAAGCUUCGGCAGAUUUAGCUGGUUUCUAGUGGCGGACGGGUGAGUAACGCGUGGGUAACCUGCCUUAUACAGGGGGAUAACAGUCAGAAAUGGCUGCUAAUACCGCAUAAGCGCACAGAGCUGCAUGGCUCAGUGUGAAAAAGUCCGGUGGUAUAAGAUGGACCCGCGUUGGAUUAGCUGGUUGGUGGGGUAACGGGCCACCAAGGCGACGAUCCAUAGCCGGCCAGAGAGGGUGAACGGCCACAUUGGGACUGAGACACGGCCCAGACUCCUACGGGAGGCAGCAGUGGGGAAUAUUGCACAAUGGGGGAAACCCUGAUGCAGCGACGCCGCGUGAAGGAAGAAGGAUCUCGGUAUGUAAACUUCUAUCAGCAGGGAAGAUAAUGACGGUACCUGCAGAAGAAGCCCCGGCUAACUACGUG